GUGGGGAAUAUUGGACAAUGGGCGAAAGCCUGAUCCAGCCAUGCCGCGUGUGUGAAGAAGGUCUUCGGAUUGUAAAGCACUUUAAGUUGGGAGGAAGGGUAGUAACCUAAUACGUUGCUACUUUGACGUUACCGACAGAAUAAGCACCGGCUAACUUCGUGCCAGCAGCCGCGGUAAUACGAAGGGUGCAAGCGUUAAUCGGAAUUACUGGGCGUAAAGCGCGCGUAGGUGGUUCAGUAAGUUGGAAGUGAAAUCCCCGGGAUCAACCUGGGAACUGCUUUCAAAACUGCUGAGCUAGAGUACGGUAGAGGGUAGUGGAAUUUCCUGUGUAGCGGUGAAAUGCGUAGAUAUAGGAAGGAACACCAGUGGCGAAGGCGACUACCUGGACUGAUACUGACACUGAGGUGCGAAAGCGUGGGGAGCAAACAGGAUUAGAUACCCGAGUAGUCC
This 450-nucleotide ribosomal RNA is filed under the name uncultured bacterium. RNAcentral's name for it is "partial 16S ribosomal RNA". It matches the Rfam family "Bacterial small subunit ribosomal RNA", at positions 354 to 796 of the family's 1533-position model. The record is from RNAcentral.